Molecule: non-coding RNA, 30 nt
Filed under: Mus musculus (house mouse)
Lineage: Eukaryota; Metazoa; Chordata; Mammalia; Rodentia; Muridae
Source: RNAcentral
UAAGUGCCAAAUUGUAUAGUAAGUCUUGAU